UGGCGAACGGGUGAGUAACACGUGAGCAACCUGCCCCUGACUCUGGGAUAAGCGCUGGAAACGGCGUCUAAUACUGGAUAUGUGACGUGAUCGCAUGGUCUGCGUCUGGAAAGAUUUUUCGGUUGGGGAUGGGCUCGCGGCCUAUCAGCUUGUUGGUGAGGUAAUGGCUCACCAAGGCGUCGACGGGUAGCCGGCCUGAGAGGGUGACCGGCCACACUGGGACUGAGACACGGCCCAGACUCCUACGGGAGGCAGCAGUGGGGAAUAUUGCACAAUGGGCGCAAGCCUGAUGCAGCAACGCCGCGUGAGGGAUGACGGCCUUCGGGUUGUAAACCUCUUUUAGCAGGGAAGAAGCGAAAGUGACGGUACCUGCAGAAAAAGCGCCGGCUAACUACGUGCCAGCAGCCGCGGUAAUACGUAGGGCGCAAGCGUUAUCCGGAAUUAUUGGGCGUAAAGAGCUCGUAGGCGGUUUGUCGCGUCUGCUGUGAAAUCCGGAGGCUCAACCUCCGGCCUGCAGUGGGUACGGGCAGACUAGAGUGCGGUAGGGGAGAUUGGAAUUCCUGGUGUAGCGGUGGAAUGCGCAGAUAUCAGGAGGAACACCGAUGGCGAAGGCAGAUCUCUGGGCCGUAACUGACGCUGAGGAGCGAAAGGGUGGGGAGCAAACAGGCUUAGAUACCCUGGUAGUCCACCCCGUAAACGUUGGGAACUAGUUGUGGGGUCCAUUCCACGGAUUCCGUGACGCAGCUAACG
RNAcentral lists this ribosomal RNA (750 nucleotides) under Microbacterium maritypicum. RNAcentral's name for it is "bacterial SSU rRNA". It matches the Rfam family "Bacterial small subunit ribosomal RNA", at positions 96 to 857 of the family's 1533-position model. The record is from RNAcentral. Lineage: Bacteria; Bacillati; Actinomycetota; Actinomycetes; Micrococcales; Microbacteriaceae.